AUACGUAUGGUCCUAGCGUUGUCCGGAAUGACUGGGCGUAAAGGGUGUGUAGGCGGAUGUAUGUGUCAGAUGUGAAAUACCUCGGCUUAACUGAGGCAUUGCGUUUGAAACUGUACAUCUUGAGCAUGUCAGGGGUAAGCGGAAUUCCCGGAGUAGCGGUGAAAUGCGUAGAUAUCGGGAAGAACACCGGUGGCGAAGGCGGCUUACUGGGGCAUAGCGGACGCUGAGGCACGAAAGGGUGGGGAGCGAACGGGAUUAGAUACCCCGGUAGUCCACGCCGUAAACGAUGGAUACUAGAUGUCAGUUGCAUAAUAGCAGUUGGUAUCGAAGCAAACGCGAUAAGUAUCCCGCCUGGGGAGUACGGUCGCAAGAUUAAAACUUAAAGGAAUUGACGGGG
This 397-nucleotide ribosomal RNA is filed under the name uncultured bacterium. Its description in RNAcentral is "partial 16S ribosomal RNA". It matches the Rfam family "Bacterial small subunit ribosomal RNA", at positions 523 to 918 of the family's 1533-position model. The record is from RNAcentral.